This 425-nucleotide ribosomal RNA is filed under the name uncultured bacterium. RNAcentral's name for it is "partial 16S ribosomal RNA". It matches the Rfam family "Bacterial small subunit ribosomal RNA", at positions 354 to 796 of the family's 1533-position model. The record is from RNAcentral.
GUGGGGAAUCUUAGACAAUGGGCGCAAGCCAGAUCUAGCCAUGCCGCGUGAGCGAUGAAGGCCUUAGGGUUGUAAAGCUCUUUCGUGGGGGAAGAUAAUGACUGUACCCCAAGAAGAAGCCCCGGCUAACUCCGUGCCAGCAGCCGCGGUAAUACGGAGGGGGCUAGCGUUGUUCGGAAUUACUGGGCGUAAAGCGCACGUAGGCGGACUGGAAAGUCAGGGGUGAAAUCCCGGGGCUCAACCCCGGAACUGCCUUUGAAACUCCCAGUCUUGAGUUCGAGAGAGGUGAGUGGAAUUCCGAGUGUAGAGGUGAAAUUCGUAGAUAUUCGGAGGAACACCAGUGGCGAAGGCGGCUCACUGGCUCGAUACUGACGCUGAGGUGCGAAAGCGUGGGGAGCAAACAGGAUUAGAAACCCCGGUAGUCC